AUGCACGGUGGUGAUGGAGCCGGCGGCAGGGGGCGAAGCAACCGCCCUCCAAUGCAGCUUGGCGGCGGCAGGGGGCGAGGCAAACGCCCUCCAGUGCACCGUGGCGGCGGGGGCCGAGAAACCGGUAGAGGGGGCGAUGGAGGAGGGAGGGGUGUGGCUGCUCCUGUGGCAACUGACGAGAGCAACCCGGGCGAAGCGCACUCGGGCCAAGGCACAAGUAAUAAAGGAGCUAAAAAGAGGGAGUUUCGAAUUCCUUUCACAGUUGAACAAAUAAAGGUGACAAAUAUCAAACACAUUGGAGAUAGAGGAAGGUUAAAGAUGAGAAAGCCAAGUCACUGUCAGGAAAUGGAAGUAAUUUUGGACUUACAGGACCCGUCUAGUUUGUACCGCUUGAGAAUAAUGUUACAGUUUUUCCAUCCGAAUAUAUUACGCUGUGAGGGGUUGGUACGAGAUCAAAAUUCGUUUGCGACAUUUGUGGUGCCAUAUAGUGGUCUGUUAUCUGAAUUUUUAAAAAAUGUGGCCCUCUUCAAUAAGGAAUAUGUUGUUCCUUCUUCGGAAUUGCAAAGCAUCAUAAGACAAAUUGUUGAAGGUUUGGAUGAACUGAGAUCGCAUGGUUAUUACCAUGGCAACUUCAGUUUAAACAACACUUACUAUCAAAUGGAGGGAAGCAAAAUAAUUGUGAAACUCGCAAACUUCCAGCAAAAAGUUUCAGUUAAUCUUGAUGAUGCUCAGAUUGAAGAUUGGACUGCUCUUGGCAAAGCACUUGAAACAAUCUCUACGAAUGUCAAAACUAAGUCUCCCAACACGAAUUGCAGUCUAAUUGAUGAUUUAGCCCAGAAGUUAAAAACUGUCAAAAGCCCACGAAGCCUCCCUAAUAUAAAAUAUGUGCUUCUCAAUGAAGUUUUCUUUUGGGACAAAGAAACACGAACAAAGUUCGCUAUAUACACAAUUCCCAAGCAUUUAUCUGACCCCACAUUUAGAGAUAAUGUGGAAAACAGAUAUAAGUGUCAGAUUCCUUGGGAUGGGCAUGCUUUUCGUGGGCUUAAGGCGGCUAUGAAUGACUAUCGUAUGAAUUUUGUGGACAAGAAAACAUAUGAUGGAAACAGCAAGUUUCACAAACUUACCUUUCUUAGUGGGUGUUACACUCACGAGGAUGAACUCAAGAACUACAUUACAGACAACCAACAAUCAGUUGAUAGAGUCUUCCAGUUAUGUGACCCUACCAUAUUCGUCGACGUAAAGAAGCUUAUUCCUUAG
Molecule: ribosomal RNA, 1257 nt
Filed under: Triticum aestivum (bread wheat)
Lineage: Eukaryota; Viridiplantae; Streptophyta; Magnoliopsida; Poales; Poaceae
Description: partial small subunit ribosomal RNA
Source: RNAcentral